ACAGCCGCCGCGGUAAUACGAAGGGGGCUAGCGUUGUUCGGAAUUACUGGGCGUAAAGCGCACGCAGGCGGUGACCACAGUCAGAAGUGAAAGCCCUGGGCUCAACCCGGGAAUUGCUUUUGAUACUAGGUUACUAGAAUCACGGAGAGGGUAGUGGAAUUCCGAGUGUAGAGGUGAAAUUCGUAGAUAUUCGGAAGAACACCAGUGGCGAAGGCGACUACCUGGCCGUCGAUUGACGCUCAUGUGCGAAAGCGUGGGGAGCAAACAGGAUUAGAUACCCUGGUAGUCCACGCCGUAAACGAUGAGUGCUAGUUGUUGGGGUGCAUGCACCUCAGUGACGCAGCUAACGCGUUAAGCACUCCGCCUGGGGAGUACGGCCGCAAGGUUAAAACUUAAAGGAAUUGGCGGGGGA
RNAcentral lists this ribosomal RNA (412 nucleotides) under uncultured bacterium. RNAcentral's name for it is "bacterial SSU rRNA". It matches the Rfam family "Bacterial small subunit ribosomal RNA", at positions 508 to 920 of the family's 1533-position model. The record is from RNAcentral.